RNAcentral lists this ribosomal RNA (460 nucleotides) under uncultured bacterium. RNAcentral describes it as "partial 16S ribosomal RNA". It matches the Rfam family "Bacterial small subunit ribosomal RNA", at positions 338 to 795 of the family's 1533-position model. The record is from RNAcentral.
CCUACGGGUGGCAGCAGUGAGGAAUAUUGGUCAAUGGACGAGAGUCUGAACCAGCCAAGUAGCGUGAAGGAUGACUGCUCUAUGGUUUGUAAACUCUUUUUAUAAAGGAAUAAAACGAGGCACGUGUGCCUUUUUGCAUGUACUUUAUGUACAUGGAUCGGCUAACUCCGUGCCAGCGGCCGCGGUAAUACGGAGGAUCCGAGCGUUGUCCGGAUUUAUUGGGUUUAAAGGGAGCGUAGAUGGGUUGUUAAGUCAGUUGUGAAAGUUUGCGGCUCAACCGAAAAAUUGCAUUUGAUACUGGCAGUCUUGAGUACAGUUGAGGUAGGCGGAAUUCGUGGUGUAGCGGUGAAAUGCUUAGAUAUACCGAAGAACACCGAUGGCGAAGGCAGCUUACUGGACUGUAACUGACAUUGAUGCUCGAAAGUGUGGGUAGCAAACAGGAUUAGAUACCCUUGUAGUC